Molecule: small nucleolar RNA, 98 nt
Organism: Prunus persica (peach)
Lineage: Eukaryota; Viridiplantae; Streptophyta; Magnoliopsida; Rosales; Rosaceae
Rfam family: Small nucleolar RNA snoR113
Source: Rfam
UGGCGAUGAUGAAACAAAGGCCGAACUUACGGCUGCUUCCGGUUGGUCGGUAGUAGAUUGAUGAGACUCUUGACGUAAAGGUGUUGUUGCUGAGCCAC